Molecule: ribosomal RNA, 250 nt
Filed under: uncultured bacterium
Lineage: Bacteria
Description: partial 16S ribosomal RNA
Rfam family: Bacterial small subunit ribosomal RNA
Source: RNAcentral
UACGUAGGUGGCAAGCGUUGUCCGGAUUUAUUGGGCGUAAAGCGCGCGCAGGCGGCUAUGUAAGUCUGGUGUUAAAGCCCGGGGCUCAACCCCGGUUCGCAUCGGAAACUGCAGAGCUUGAGUGCAGAAGAGGAAAGCGGUAUUCCACGUGUAGCGGUGAAAUGCGUAGAGAUGUGGAGGAACACCAGUGGCGAAGGCGGCUUUCUGGUCUGUAACUGACGCUGAGGCGCGAAAGCGUGGGGAGCAAACA